RNAcentral lists this transfer RNA (85 nucleotides) under Paenibacillus piri. It matches the Rfam family "tRNA". Rfam says of the family: Transfer RNA (tRNA) molecules are approximately 80 nucleotides in length. Their secondary structure includes four short double-helical elements and three loops (D, anti-codon, and T loops). RNAcentral also lists the same sequence under 3 other names. The record is from Rfam by way of RNAcentral. Lineage: Bacteria; Bacillati; Bacillota; Bacilli; Caryophanales; Paenibacillaceae.
GCCGAAGUGGCGGAAUGGCAGACGCACAGGACUUAAAAUCCUGCGGUAGGUGACUAUCGUGCGGGUUCGAGUCCCGCCUUCGGCA